UUUGGCGUUAGGGUUAAAAUCACUGUCCAAAACCUUUGUAGGAACUCUUUUCCAACCUUUUGGAGUUAGUUAAACCAAAAAAAAAAAGAAAAAUUAAAAAAUAUAUAUUUGGGGUUUUUUGGGCUUCCUGAAUGUAAUACCCGGGUAUUAGAUUUUAAGGCUAGGGUAAGGUUUAAGUUUUUUGGCGUUAGGGUUAAAAUCACUGUCCAAAACCUUUGUAGGAACUCUUUUCCAACCUUUUGGAGUUAGUUAGACCAAAAAGUAUGAAAAAAGAAAAAAAUAUUAUUGGGGGUUUUCGGGCUUCCUGAAAGUAAUACCCGGGUAUUAGGUUUUGGGACUAUGGUAAGGUUUAAGUUUUUUGGCGUUAGGGUUAAAAUCACUGUCCAAAACCUUUGUAGGAACUCUUUUCCAACCUUUUGGAGUUAGUUAGACCAAAAAAAAUGUAAAAUGAACAAAAAAAUAUUUGGGGUGUUCGGGCUUCCUGAAGGUAAUACCCCGGUAUUAGAUUUUAAGGCUAGGGUAAGGUUUAAGGUUUUUGGCGUUAGGGUUAAAAUCACUGUCCAAAACCUUUGUAGGAACUCUUUUCCAACCUUUUGGAGUUAGUUAGACCAAAAAGUAUGAAAAAGAAAAAAAUAUUAUUGGGGGUUUUCGGGCUUCCUGAAAGUAAUACCCGGGUAUUAGGUUUUGGGGCUAUGGUAAGGUUUAAGUUUUUUGGCGUUAGGGUUAAAAUCACUGUCCAAAACCUUUGUAGGAACUCUUUUCCAACCUUUUGGAGUUAGUUAGACCAAAAAAUAUGAAAAAAGAAAAAAAUAUUAUUGGGGGUUUUCGGGCUCCCUGAAAGUAAUACCCGGGUAUUAGGUUUUGGGGCUAUGGUAAGGUUUAAGUUUUUUGGCAUUAGGGUUAAAAUCACUGUCCAAAACCUUUGUAGGAACUCUUUUCCAACCUUUUGGAGUUAGUUAGACCAAAAAAAAAAAGAAAAAUUAAAAAAAAUUAUUGGGGUGUUCAGGCUUCCUAAAAGUAAUACGUAUUAGGUUAUGGGGCUAUGGUAAGGUUUAAGUUUUUGGCGUUAGGGUUAAAAUCACUGUCCAAAACCUUUGUAGGAACUCUUUUCCAACCUUUUGGAGUUAGUUAGACCAAAAAAAAAAUGAAAAAUGAAAAAAAAAUAUUUGGGGUGUUCAGGCUUCCUGAAAGUAAUACCUGGGUAUUAGAUUUUAAGGCUAGGGUAAGGUUUAAAGUUUUUGGCGUUAGGGUUAAAAUCACUGUCCAAAACCUUUGUAGGAACUCUUUUCCAACCUUUUGGAGUUAGUUAGACCAAAAAAAAAAGAAAAAUGAAAAAAAUAUUAUUGGGGGUUUUCGGGCUCCCUGAAAGUAAUACCCGGGUAUUAGGUUUUGGGGCUAUGGUAAGGUUUAAGUUUUUGGCGUUAGGGUUAAAAUCACUGUCCAAAACCUUUGUAGGAACUCUUUUUCAACCUUUUGGAGUUAGUUAGACCAAAAAAAAAUGAAAAAUUAAAAAACAAUAUUUGGGGUUUUCGGGGUUCCUGAAUGUAAUACCCGGGUAUUAGAUUUUGAGGCUAGGGUAAGGUUUAAGUUUUUUGGCAUUAGGGUUAAAAUCACUGUCCAAAACCUUUGUAGGAACUCUUUUCCAACCUUUUGGAGUUGGUUACACCAACAGAAAUGUAAAAUGAAGAAAAAAUAUUUGGGGUGUUCAGGCUUCCUGAAGGUAAUACCCGGGUAUUACAUUUCAAGGCUAGGGUAAGGUUUAAGGUUUUUGGCGUUAGGGUUAAAAUCACUGUCCAAAACCUUUGUAGGAACUCUUUUCCAACCUUUUGGAGUUAGUUAGACCAAAAAAUAUGAAAAAAGAAAAAAAUAUUAUUGGGGGUUUUCGGGCUUCCUGAAAGUAAUACCCGUGUAUUAGGUUUUGGGACUAGGGAAAGGUUUAAGUUUUUUGGCGUUAGGGUUAAAAUCACUGUCCAAAACCUUUGUAGGAACUCUUUUCCAACCUUUUGGAGUUAGUUAGACCAAAAAAUAAGAAAAAUGAAAAAAAAAAUAUUUGGGGUGUUCAGGCUUCCUAAAAGUAAUACCCAGGAAUUAGGUUAUGGGGCUAUGGUAAGGUUUAACGUUUUGGCGUUAGGUUUAAAAUCACUGUCCAAAACCUUUGUAGGAACUCUUUAACAACCUUUUGGAUUUAGUUAGACCAAAAAAAAAUGAAAAAUUAAAAAAAAUAUAUUUGGGGUGUUCAGGCUUCCUGAAAGUAAUACCCGGGUAUUAGGUCAUGGGGCUAUGGUAAGGUUUAAGGUUUUUGGCGUUAGGGUUAAAAUCACUGUCCAAAACCUUUGUAGGAACUCUUUUUCAACCUUUUGGAGUUAGUUAGACCAAAAAAAAAAUGAAAAAUGAAAAAAAAAAUAUUUGGGGUUUACGGGCUUCCUGAAUGUAAUACCCGGGUAUUAGAUUUUAAGGCCAGGGAAAGGUUUAAGUUUUUUGG
Xyrichtys novacula (pearly razorfish) is the source of this 2482-nucleotide non-coding RNA. Lineage: Eukaryota; Metazoa; Chordata; Actinopteri; Labriformes; Labridae. The record is from the annotation of a GenBank genome assembly.